AAAAAAGGGGUGCCCGGAGAGACCUCGAACGGUCUCCUGCCUACGUACCUCAUCUGGUAUGAGGAUCAGGGCGACGUAGUUCCCCUGAACGGGAAAGAAAUUCUAACCAGAUACAAAGGGAGACACACUACUAGGGAGCUGUACUCGAACCUAGAUGUUAUCAUGCAUCAUUGCCCUAUGUUAUGGUUUCUAUCUACGUGCACAACAGCAAGCUAAUCCUAAC
This 223-nucleotide long non-coding RNA is filed under the name Lathyrus oleraceus (garden pea). Its description in RNAcentral is "Pisum sativum (pea) long non-coding RNA (PSAT_LNC027162)". The record is from RNAcentral. Lineage: Eukaryota; Viridiplantae; Streptophyta; Magnoliopsida; Fabales; Fabaceae.